Molecule: long non-coding RNA, 941 nt
Filed under: Vigna radiata
Lineage: Eukaryota; Viridiplantae; Streptophyta; Magnoliopsida; Fabales; Fabaceae
Description: long non-coding RNA (VRAD_LNC006285)
Source: RNAcentral
UUCCUCUUGACUUGGUUGCAUAGCUUUGAAGACAUUGAAACUUACCUCUCUAUCUUGGUCUUUUAAUUUCAGUAUUUCCUCUUCCAUAUGAAUGACAACCUAAGUUGUCUUCAGGAAAGGUCUUCCAAGGAUGAGCGAUAUCUUAGCAUCCUCCUCCAUCUCCAUCAAAACAAAGUCCACCAGGAAUUGAAGCUUAUCAACUUUUACCACCACAUCUUCUACCACACCAUAAGAAUAUUUGAUGGACCUCUCUGCCAACUGAAGCAUCAUUCUUGUUGGCUUGGCUUCAAGGCCACCAAUAUUUUUAAGUAUACAUAGGGGUAUCAAGUUGAUGAUAGCCCCUAAAUAAAUAAGAGCUUUCCCUAUAUCAUGGUUUCCAAUGGUGCAUGGAAUGGUGAAACUCCCCGGAUCUUUAAAUUUUGGAGGGAGAGUGUUUUACAUUAUGGCACUGCAAUUUUCCCGCACUUCAAUUGUUUACUCAUCUAAAUGCUUCUUUUUCUUGCUGAGGAUUUGCUUCAUGUACUUUUCAUAGGUAGGAAUUUGUUGUAGUGCUUCAGUCAAGGGCAUGGUGAUCUCAAGUUGGUUGAAUAUUUGCUUGAACUAAGCCAAUUGUUUCUCCUUUUCUCAAUUGGAAGGAUUUUUCCGGUAAGGAAGAUGUUUCACAAUUUCCUUCUCUUUUUGCUUUUUCUCUUUUUCUUUUCCUUUAUUUUCUUCUUCUCCUCCAACAAUCUCUUCUUCUACUUUUUUCUCUCCUUGAUUCUCUUCUUCAUUAUUUUCCUUCUCUUCUUCUUCUUCUGGCUUUUCUUUUUCUUCUUCUUUCCUCUCAACCUCUUUUCCACUUCUAGUGAAUAUGACAUUACACUCUUCCUUAGGAUUGGCUUGAGUAUUUAUCUACCCUGUUGGUUUGCCAAUUGCUUAGCUAACUGACCAACUUGCACUUC